This 571-nucleotide ribosomal RNA is filed under the name uncultured bacterium. Its description in RNAcentral is "partial 16S ribosomal RNA". It matches the Rfam family "Bacterial small subunit ribosomal RNA", at positions 355 to 914 of the family's 1533-position model. The record is from RNAcentral.
UGGGGAAUAUUGCACAAUGGGCGCAAGCCUGAUGCAGCCAUGCCGCGUGUGUGAAGAAGGCCUUCGGGUUGUAAAGCACUUUCAGCGAGGAGGAAGGUGGUGAGCUUAAUACGCUCAUCAAUUGACGUUACUCGCAGAAGAAGCACCGGCUAACUCCGUGCCAGCAGCCGCGGUAAUACGGAGGGUGCAAGCGUUAAUCGGAAUUACUGGGCGUAAAGCGCACGCAGGCGGUUUGUUAAGUCAGAUGUGAAAUCCCCGGGCUCAACCUGGGAACUGCAUUUGAAACUGGCAAGCUAGAGUCUCGUAGAGGGGGGUAGAAUUCCAGGUGUAGCGGUGAAAUGCGUAGAGAUCUGGAGGAAUACCGGUGGCGAAGGCGGCCCCCUGGACGAAGACUGACGCUCAGGUGCGAAAAGCGUGGGGAGCAAAACAGGAUUAGAUACCCUGGUAGUCCACGCUGUAAAACGAUGUCGAUUUUGGAGGUUGUGCCCUUGAGGCGUGGCUUCCGGAGCUAACGCGUUAAAUCGACCGCCUGGGGAGUACGGCCGCAAGGUUAAAACUUAAAUGAAUUGAC